This is a long non-coding RNA of Humulus lupulus (European hop), 238 nucleotides long. RefSeq lists it as uncharacterized. NCBI's taxonomy places the organism in Eukaryota, Viridiplantae, Streptophyta, Magnoliopsida, Rosales, Cannabaceae. The record is from RefSeq and is a predicted model, not a curated record. The transcript is spliced from 3 exons.
AAGGGAAGCUUGGCGAAGCCAGAGCUACUUUGAGACGUUCUAUGAGGGAAAUUGGAUUGGAUGUAGCAGAGCAAAGUGGAGAGGUUACACGAUCUGUCUCUGGCCCAGUACUUCCAAGGAAAAACUAUGGGAAUGCUGACAUACAUGUGGAGAGACAACUUAUGCCCCGUGUUCUUGCUGGUACCAAUGGCCCCACUGAUUGGAAUGAAGCUUUGGAUAUUAUUUCUUUUGGUUCUCC